Molecule: non-coding RNA, 209 nt
Organism: Pelobates cultripes (western spadefoot toad)
Lineage: Eukaryota; Metazoa; Chordata; Amphibia; Anura; Pelobatidae
Source: the annotation of a GenBank genome assembly
AUGUGUGUGUGUCUCUGUAUGUAUGUGUGUCUGUGUCUCUGUAUGUGUGUGUGUCUGUGUCUCUGUAUGUCUCUGUACAUGUGUGUGUGUGUCUCUGUACGUGUGUGUGUCUCUGUAUGUGUUUGUGUCUAUGUCUCUGUAUGUGUGUGUGUGUGUCUCUGUAUGUAUGUGUGUCUCUUUAUGUAUGUGUGUGUAUGUGUGUGUGUAUG